GGAUGCAACUGCCUGAUCUUCUUUAUUAGAGCCUCUCAAUGAUGUGCUUCCUGAACCAGUUAUGUUUUGAGAUUGCAUUAGUUGCUCGACUUGACAAACAAGCAUUGAUUUUCUUUACGCAACACAUGUCGAUUUAUUUAAUUUGGCACUAGUUCUUUCCGUCAUUGUUAUUCAUGGAAUCACAAUUUGUUAUCACUGUUUAUUUCGUCUGGGUGACUCAGGUCAGGUCUUU
Molecule: unclassified non-coding RNA, 232 nt
Filed under: Hevea brasiliensis (rubber tree)
Lineage: Eukaryota; Viridiplantae; Streptophyta; Magnoliopsida; Malpighiales; Euphorbiaceae
Source: RNAcentral